AAAAAUGUUACUCAUACGCAUCAGACGGAUGCCUCGACUCUAGAAUCCGAUGAAGGACGUGGCCAGCUGCGAUAUGCUUGGGUGAGCCGCUAGGCAGGCGCUAUCAACCCGAGAUUUCCGAAUGGGGAAACCCCUAUGAGGUUAUGCUCAUAGACUUUGUGUUUACACAUUGUGGUUACUCUGUGAACUGAAACAUCUAAGUAGCAGAGGAAAAUAAAUCAAAAGAGAUUCCCUUAGUAGUGGCGAGCGAACAGGGAACAGCCCAAACCUCACUAUAUUAUGGUGAGGGGUUGUAGGACUCCAUAAGCGAUUAAUGUAUGUUAGGCAAACGACCCUGGAACGGGCGGCCGAAGAGGGUGAGAGCCCCGUCGCCGAAAACAUACAUUACGUGGGAGUAUCCUGAGUAAGGUCGGACACGUGAAAUCCGGCCCGAACCUGGGAGGACCACCUUCCAAGGCUAAAUAGUUCUAGAGAUCAAUAGCGAAUAGUACCGCGAGGGAAAGGUGAAAAGCACCCCGGAAGGGGGAUGAAAUAGUCUCUGAAAUCUGUUGCGUCCAAAGAAUGGGAGCCCUUUAUGGGUGACCGUGUGCCUUUUGCAUAAUGAGCCAACGAGUUAGUUGUAUGUGGUCGGCUAAGGGAGUCAAAACCCGGAGCCGGAGCGAAAGCGAGUCCGAAUAGGGCGUUUAUGAUCGCAUGCACUAGACCCGAAACCGGGUGAGCUACCCAUGGGCAGGGUGAAGGUAGUCGGAAGACUACUGGAGGCCCGCACCCACGCAUGUCACAAGAUGCGGGGAUGACCUGUGGGUAGGGGUGAAAAGCCAACCGAACCCGGAGAUAGCUGGUUCUCUUCGAAAUGCCUUUAGGGGCAGCCUCUUUGUACACGAUCGGGGGUAGAGCUACUGUUUGGAUGAGGGGGUCUUCCCGACCUACCAAUUCCUGAUAAACUCCGAAUACCGAUCCUUUGGCAAAGGGAGUGAGACGGUGACGGCGAAUCGCCAUCGUCAAAAGGGAAACAACCCAGACCAUUUGCUAAGGUCCCUAAUACAUGCUCAGUGGUAAAGGUGGUGCGAUUGCUCCGACAACCAGGAGGUUGGCUUAGAAGCAGCCAUCCUUUAAAGAUAGCGUAACAGCUCACUGGUCGAGGAGUCGUGCGCCGAAAAUUUAACGGGGCGAAGCAUGUAACCGAAGCAGUGGAUAUUUUAUAUGGUAGAAGAGCGUUCCGUUCAGCAGUGAAGCGAUACCUGUGAGGGGUCGUGGAGCGGACGGAAGUGAGAAUGUUGGCAUGAGUAACUACUAGGCAGGUGAAAACCCUGCCCACCGAAUCCCCAAGGUUUCCCACGCAACGGUAAUCGGCGUGGGGUUAGUCGGUCCUAAGGCCAGGCCGAAAGGCGUAACCGAUGGAUAACAGGUCAAUAUUCCUGUACUUCAUAAAGAUCGCCCAAGGGUAUGACUAGAUAGUUCCGUUCGCCUCUGUCCCGUUUACGGGAUAUGUGUUCGGGAAAGGAUGGUUUUACUCUAGGAGCGGUGGGACGGAGUGGGAAGACCAGAGCGUGUGCAUUGACUGCACGUGGAACAUGUUAGGCGUUGAGACCGGUAGGAAAAUCCGCCGGACGAGCCGAGCAUGGAUACCAAUUGUUCACCGCAAGGUGGAUUAGUCUGGCUCUUUGCGCUUCCAAGAAAAGCAUCGCUUUCGAGAGCUUUAUGAAACCGUACCGCAAACCAACACCGGUGGGGUGGUCGAGUAGACCAAGGUGAACGAGAGAACUCGCGUUA
Molecule: ribosomal RNA, 1773 nt
Filed under: Candidatus Peregrinibacteria bacterium
Lineage: Bacteria; Candidatus Peregrinibacteriota
Description: partial 23S ribosomal RNA
Rfam family: Bacterial large subunit ribosomal RNA
Source: RNAcentral